GACGAACCGUGCGAACGUUGUUCGGAUUCACUGGGCUUAAAGGGCGCGUAGGCGGGCGGUCAAGUCGGGGGUGAAAUCUUUCCGCUUAACGGGAAGCGUGCCUCCGAUACUGAUCGCCUCGAGGGAGGUAGGGGCAUGUGGAACUUCCGGUGGGGCGGUGAAAUGCGUAGAUAUCGGAAGGAACGCCGGUGGCGAAAGCGACGUGCUGGACCUCUUCUGACGCUGAGGCGCGAAAGCUAGGGGAGCAAACAGG
This 253-nucleotide ribosomal RNA is filed under the name uncultured bacterium. RNAcentral describes it as "partial 16S ribosomal RNA". It matches the Rfam family "Bacterial small subunit ribosomal RNA", at positions 524 to 776 of the family's 1533-position model. The record is from RNAcentral.